This 254-nucleotide ribosomal RNA is filed under the name uncultured bacterium. Its description in RNAcentral is "partial 16S ribosomal RNA". It matches the Rfam family "Bacterial small subunit ribosomal RNA", at positions 524 to 776 of the family's 1533-position model. The record is from RNAcentral.
UACGUAGGGUCCAAGCGUUAUCCGGAAUUACUGGGCGUAAAGCGUACGUAGGCUGCGCGUUAAGUGCAAUGUGAAAUCUUGUGGCUCAACCAUAUAGACUAUGUUGCAUACUGGCGUGCUAGAGGACGGCAGAGGCAAGUGGAAUUUCUAGUGUAGCAGUGAUAUGCGUAGAUAUUAGAAGGAACACCAAUGGCGAAGGCAGCUUGCUGGGCCGCCCCUGACGCUGAGGUACGAAAGCGUGGGUAGCGAACAGG